GGGCCGUUAGCUCAGUUGGCAGAGCAACUGACUUUUAAUCAGUUGGUCCUGGGUUCGAGUCCCAGACGGCUCACCA
RNAcentral lists this transfer RNA (76 nucleotides) under Chloroflexi bacterium RBG_16_57_8. RNAcentral's name for it is "tRNA-Lys". It matches the Rfam family "tRNA". Rfam says of the family: Transfer RNA (tRNA) molecules are approximately 80 nucleotides in length. Lineage: Bacteria; Bacillati; Chloroflexota. The record is from RNAcentral.